AGAGUUUGAUCAUGGCUCAGGAUGAACGCUGGCGGCGUGGAUAAGGCAUGCAAGUCGAACGGAGAAGUCCCAUGAAUAUGAAAAAAACUUUGAGUAGCAAUACGAUUAGAAUUUUUCAUAGGAUUGGGUUCGCUUCUUAGUGGCGAACGAGGUAGUAAUACGCAGGAACUUCCCCCAAAGUCGUGAAUAAUUCGUCGAAAGACGGACUAAUACACGAUGGUCUCGUAAGAGUAAAGUUUUAACGCUUUGGGAAAGGCCUGUGCGAUAUCAGCUAGUUGGUAGUGUAAUGGACUACCAAGGCUAUGACGUCUAGGGGAGGUGAGAGCCUGACCCCCACCGAUGGUACUGAGACACGGACCAUACACCUACGGGUGGCUGCAGUCGAGAAUCUUCCGCAAUGGACGAAAGUCUGACGGAGCGACGCCGCGUGAUUGAUGAAGUCCCUCUGGGACGUAAAGAUCUUUUAUGAGGGAAGAAGUUUAUUGACGGUACCUCAUGAAUAAGAGGCUCCUAAUCUCGUGCCAGCAGGAGCGGUAAUACGAGAGCCUCGAGCGUUAUCCGGAAUUAUUGGGCGUAAAGGGUGCGUAGGUUGCAAUGUUAGUCUUUUGUCAAAGACCCGGGCUUAACUUGGGGAACGCGGGAGAUACGGCAUUGCUUGAAAGUGCGAGGGGUGUACGGAACUCAUGGUGUAGGGGUGAAAUCCGUUGAUAUCAUGGGGAACACCAAAAGCGAAAGCAGUACACUGGCGCAUAUUUGACACUGAAGCACGAAAGCGUGGGUAGCGAAUGGGAUUAGAUACCCUAGUAGUCC
This 810-nucleotide ribosomal RNA is filed under the name uncultured bacterium. Its description in RNAcentral is "bacterial SSU rRNA". It matches the Rfam family "Bacterial small subunit ribosomal RNA", at positions 8 to 796 of the family's 1533-position model. The record is from RNAcentral.